RNAcentral lists this ribosomal RNA (492 nucleotides) under uncultured bacterium. Its description in RNAcentral is "partial 16S ribosomal RNA". It matches the Rfam family "Bacterial small subunit ribosomal RNA", at positions 29 to 507 of the family's 1533-position model. The record is from RNAcentral.
AGUGAACGCUGGCGGUAGGCCUAACACAUGCAAGUCGAACGGCAGCACAGUAGGAGCUUGCUCUUACGGGUGGCGAGUGGCGGACGGGUGAGGAAUACAUCGGAAUCUACUUUUUCGUGGGGGAUAACGUAGGGAAACUUACGCUAAUACCGCAUACGACCUACGGGUGAAAGCAGGGGAUCUUCGGACCUUGCGCGAUUGAAUGAGCCGAUGUCGGAUUAGCUAGUUGGCGGGGUAAAGGCCCACCAAGGCGACGAUCCGUAGCUGGUCUGAGAGGAUGAUCAGCCACACUGGAACUGAGACACGGUCCAGACUCCUACGGGAGGCAGCAGUGGGGAAUAUUGGACAAUGGGCGCAAGCCUGAUCCAGCCAUACCGCGUGGGUGAAGAAGGCCUUCGGGUUGUAAAGCCCUUUUGUUAGGAAAGAAAAGCAGCAGGUUAAUACCCCGCUGUUCUGACGGUACCCAAAGAAUAAGCACCGGCUAACUUCGUG